CUACGGGGGGCAGCAGUGGGGAAUAUUGGACAAUGGGGGAAACCCUGAUCCAGCAAUGCCGCGUGUGUGAAGAAGGCCUGCGGGUUGUAAAGCACUUUCGGUUGGGAGGACUGCUUCUAGCACUAAUAUUGUUGGAAGUUGACGUUACCUUCAGAAGAAGCACCGGCUAACUCCGUGCCAGCAGCCGCGGUAAUACGGAGGGUGCAAGCGUUAAUCGGAAUUACUGGGCGUAAAGCGCGCGUAGGCGGCUAGAUCAGUCGGGUGUGAAAGCCCCGGGCUUAACCUGGGAACUGCAUCCGAUACUGUCUAGCUUGAGUACAGGGGAGGAGAGUGGAAUUCCACAUGUAGCGGUGAAAUGCGUAGAUAUGUGGAGGAACACCAAUGGCGAAGGCAGCUCUCUGGCCUGAUACUGACGCUGAGGUGCGAAAGCGUGGGAAGCAAACAGGAUUAGAUACCCCCGUAGUC
This 465-nucleotide ribosomal RNA is filed under the name uncultured bacterium. Its description in RNAcentral is "partial 16S ribosomal RNA". It matches the Rfam family "Bacterial small subunit ribosomal RNA", at positions 339 to 795 of the family's 1533-position model. The record is from RNAcentral.